This 253-nucleotide ribosomal RNA is filed under the name uncultured bacterium. RNAcentral describes it as "partial 16S ribosomal RNA". It matches the Rfam family "Bacterial small subunit ribosomal RNA", at positions 524 to 776 of the family's 1533-position model. The record is from RNAcentral.
UACGUAGGGUGCGAGCGUUAAUCGGAAUUACUGGGCGUAAAGCGUGCGCAGGCGGUUUUGUAAGCCAGAUGUGAAAUCCCCGGGCUUAACCUGGGAAUGGCAUUUGGGACUGCAAGGCUUGAGUGCGGUAGAGGGUAGUGGAAUUCCCGGUGUAGCAGUGAAAUGCGUAGAGAUCGGGAGGAACAUCCGUGGCGAAGGCGACUACCUGGACCAGCACUGACACUGAGGCACGAAAGCGUGGGGAGCAAACAGG